AAUCUUCCACAUUGUCCGACAGCUAGUCGGACCAACCCCCCUUUAUUAAAGAAGUUCUUCGGAUCGUUAAACGCUGUUGUAAGUGACGAAUAUGUACCCUAUUAACUUUCUGUACCUUUACGGUACCUCAUUAGAAAGCCACGGCUCACUAUGUCCGAACAGCCGCGGUAAUACGUAGGUGGCAAGCGUUGUCCGGAAUUAUUGGGCGUAAAGCGCGCGCAGGCGGUCCUUUAAGUCUGAUGUGAAAGCGCACGGCUCAACCGUGGAGGGUCAUUGGAAACUGGGGGACUUGAGUACAGAAGAGGAAAGUGGAAUUCCAAGUGUAGCGGUGAAAUGCGUAGAGAUUUGGAGGAACACCAGUGGCGAAGGCGACUUUCUGGUCGGUAACUGACGCUAAGGCGCGAAAGCGUGGGGAGCAAAC
This 421-nucleotide ribosomal RNA is filed under the name uncultured bacterium. RNAcentral describes it as "partial 16S ribosomal RNA". It matches the Rfam family "Bacterial small subunit ribosomal RNA", at positions 360 to 773 of the family's 1533-position model. The record is from RNAcentral.